Aethina tumida (small hive beetle) is the source of this 740-nucleotide long non-coding RNA. RefSeq lists it as uncharacterized. The transcript is spliced from 2 exons. The record is from RefSeq and is a predicted model, not a curated record. NCBI's taxonomy places the organism in Eukaryota, Metazoa, Arthropoda, Insecta, Coleoptera, Nitidulidae.
UGGUUUGAUGUAUACAUGCAUAAACCUAUACAGGAAGUACUACAUCAAUUUAAAAAAAAUGUGUUGUGUCGUGACAUAAUUGUGAUAAUUUUGUUGCAUGUCGCACUGAUAGUAAAUCGCCAGCGUAAUCUGUAAUUACAUUUGAAUUAACUUGCUUCGCUGAUUAAGUCAUAAAUAUGUCACAGACUUUGAUUAUUCUAACACCUUUAUUCUGGAUAUUAUUGCAAUUGCAGUUCUAACUUCACACGACAUUUGUUUUGUUACAGUGUCCAUGAAUGGUUGAAGUAGGUGGGUGAAAUUAAAAAGUUAAAAAGAAUUAAUAACAAAGAUAAUUUCAUUUUUCAAAUGUAAAUUCAACAAAUUAAACAAACCACAAAUUAUUCUGGUCAUGUGGUUCUUGGACCGAUCUACCAACAAACCGAAUUCCGGUGCAUAUUAUAUAGGUCUACGGAGGCGGCGUAACUUCCAUUUCGGCAUAACUAACGUAAACGGCAUGGACAGGUGAGCACGACGUAGAAGGCAGCGAGAUGACAUGUCUUUAGCAGUCGCUUGGAAUAUAGAAGGCAUAGUUUGGGUUUCUUGUGGUAGAAAACCAGUUGACGCCCCAUUGAGCUCAGUAAUUCUGACAUUAUUAUUAGAUCCUUCCACUGUUAUUCCAUGUUCCCAUUGGAUGUUGUAAUUGGUUUUACAAUUUUGUGUGUUUGUUGGUUUUGUUAAUGUGAGACACUUAUGUUAUUAAA